AGGUGGAGGGAGGCUCAGCCUACUAUGCCAUAGCACCGGCCUCGAGAUUUGAAUUCUUAUACUCAGCUACUUGAUUGCAAAAUAUUGGCAACUAAGUCAAUAUUUAACAAAUCCAACUGAAACACUCCUGUGGCCUCUGGAUCAGAGACCAGGCUGGUGGCUGUGUUCCCUUCCCCUUGUCGGUUCCCUGCUUCCUCCCUCCUCUGGGUGGGGUGCCGGAGGGGGAGGGGGCUGCUGUCCCUCCUGUGUUCCUUUGUGACCUCACUCCCACCCUGGCCUCCCGUUGAGCCAGCCAGUGGCUUGGCUGCGGUCUGUCUUUUCUCUAAGAACACUUCAAUCCCUCCAAGUAAUCGAGGCGUAAUUAUAGCUAUCAGGAUGCCACCUCCGAGGACGGGGUGGAAAUUAAUGAAGUGUUUCCCACAUGCUCCGGCACCUGCAGAAGAACUCGCGACUUCCUCCCAGAAUGGCAUUCUUCCUCGUCAGGUGCUGCUAACCCUCAUUAACAUCUGAGGAGGAGGACUGAGGAAGCCUCAGAGGAAAACCACCGGGAGGCCCGGGGAGAAGUGGUGGGUGGAGAGGGUGCUGCUUAAAGAAAGCCACGGUAGGGCACAGUUCCUACGGUGACCUUAGACUUCGCUUAGAGGAAGGAGCCGAGCUCCGAGCUCCGCUGUGACUUGGGCCCUGGGCAUUGUAAAACUCCUGGCAUCUGGUGGUAGGUGCUAACACAUGCUAAGAAAUAAAUGAGCACCAGAAGCAAUCGCUAGAUGGAAACAAGAGGAGUCAAAGAUCUUACCACUGACCACUAGGAGGUGGACCAGUCGUUGAUGUCUGAUGAUUUGGCCUUUACAACAUGAAGAUAUCCGUGCCCUUUCUCCUUGUUUAAACACUGGUCUCUCUCCACCCUUGAUUGUCUGAUCCAUUUGUCUUCAAUCAGGGCCCUGCUCUUUGUUGGCUGUUGUAAAGCUCUGACUACAAAAAGCAAACAGUUUAAAGUAAAUUAGAGAUAUUGGAGAAAAGUCUCAGGAAGUUAAUGGAAGUUAUGCGGGAGAACUGCCCAGAUUCCCACAAACCCACUGAUAGAUGAGGAUCUGGGUGCAUUGUACUACAUACAGUGAUGGAGAAAAUCAACAAGGAUAACAGAAAGGCACUGAACAGGAACAGUUAAAGGACAAAGAGAGUCUCAUGGAAAAAUUGAAUAAAGGUUUAUUUUUUCUUUUUGAGACAAUCAUCUGUGGGCCCCUAAACACAGCCACUGCAUGGAGAGGAGAGCAACUUUCACCGUGAGCCAGGAGCUAGGCUGAAAUCAGCACCCUCAUUAACGCCCCCUCUUCCACACUGGUGCGCUGGUUCCAGUCCUGCCUAACCCACUUCUGAUCCAGCUCCCUGCUAAUGCAGCUGCGAAGCAGCAGAUUGACGGCUCAGGUACUUGAGUUCCUGCCACCACGUGAGAAACCUGAAUGGAGCUCCUGCCUCCUGGCUUCAGGCUGGCUCAGCCCUGCUGUUGUGGCCAUCUGGGGAGUGAACCAUUGGAUGGAAGAUCUCUCUUUGUGUUGAUGCCACUCUGCCUUUCAAGUAAGUAAAUAGACCUUUAAAAAAGAAAAAAGUACAUGAUGUGCAUGCCUGUGGCUGUGACUUUACCUCCUCGAUGGUUCUGACCAUUGAUAUUUCAGCAUUUAUGUGGCAAGAGGCGGUUCCAGGGUAUGGGAAUGGGCUUAGCAUGGUUUUGUGCUGUAUUAUGGUUUGAACGUACCUAGAAUUCAUGUGUUGGAAACUUAAUCCCCAAAACCACAUGCUAAUGAUAUUUGGAAGUGGAACCUUUGAGAGGUGAUUGGGGUGUUGAAACUCUUUCCUUUUUUUUUUUUUAAGAUUUAUUUAUUUGAGAGGCAGAGUUACAGACCAAGAAAGGGGAAGACAGAGAGAAAGGUCUUCCAUCCACUAGUUCACUCUCCAAAUUGCCACAAUGGCCAGACCUGAGCUAAUCCAAAGCCGGGAGCUAGGAGCUUCUUCUGGGUCUCCCACAUGGGUGCAGGGGCCCAAGCACUUGGGCCACCCUUCACUGCUUUCCUGGGCCAUUAGCAGGGAGCUGCAUCAGAAGUAGAGCAGCUGGGACUAGAAUAGUCACCGUUGGGGAUACUGGCACCGCAGGCAGAAGUUAACCAUGAUGCCACAGUGCCGGCCAUGAAACUCUGCCCUGUUGAAUGGACUAAUCCAUUCAUGGAUUACUGGUUUAAUAGAGUAUCAAGGGAAUGAAUUAGUUGUCAUGAGAGUGGAUCUGUUAUGAAAGCCAGUUUGGCCGUCUCUCUUCAGUCCCCUCACUGUGUGGCUGCUGGGCUGCCUUGGGAUUCUACAGAGCAUCUCCACCAGCAGCAGGUGCUCACCAGGGACAGUCCUUUGACCUUGGACUUCCCAGCCUCAAGAUUGUAAGAAUUUUUCCCAAAGAACCCAGUCUAGAUAUUCAGCAGAAAGUGGACUAAGACAUUUGUAAAAGCAGAAGCAUUGGCUUGAGUGCCUUGGCAGAGCGAGGGCUUCAUGUUACUUUCACAUGGACUUUUCACACCUAUUUCUCUAGGCAAGGGCUAGGAUUGGCUGUUACUGACAACUUACUCCAGAUAAAUGUGAUACAUAGACUCUGAUGCUUCAGGACCAUGAAUGAUGGCCCCCUUCCAUAAGCUCUGGCUGAGUUCUGGCUAUGAGCUAGGCCAUGUGUGCAUGUGCGUGCGUGCGUGUGUGUGUGUGUGUGUCUAACAUGAACCUGUAGGAAAAAAGAACAUGAGGAAGAGCUCCUCUGACACUUCUGCAUGGCUCUCUUUCUGGCAAUGAAUGAAAAUAACUAUUGAGGGUCAAUAUGGACUGAUGUGAAAACAUUUCUAAGAGAUAUUAGGUGGAAACUUACAUUGCAGAACUGAAUGUGAAAUCCAUGUUCAAUUCUGGGAAAAAUGAUUUAAGUAAAAUUUGAUUCACUUACCUGUCCCACAAACAGUAACAAAUUCUCCCAUGGCCCUAAUGGAAUCUUAGGGGAAUGUUGACCCGCUCUCUCCCUGCCUCUGUGUCUAUGCUCUGGACUCUGGCUGGAUUACUGAACUCACGUGCCCCUCACUGCCUGUCUUUCUCUCCUCCCUGCAGAACUGUCUUCUCCCUUGUUAGAAACCCCAGCCAGGGCAGGCAGAGGCUGGCCUGGCCUCUCAGGAAAGUAGAUGCCGCUGGUGGUCCACAGAGAUGUUGAAGUUCUUGCUCUGGCCGGGGCUUCCCGGCUGCAAAGACCAGUAUGGGUGGAGAGGGGCUGGGUUGCUUCAAGGGAGCUCCGAUCUGGAGAAGCCAAUGGGAAGGAGAGGCUCUGUAUGAGCAAAAGCUGGGAGAGGGCAGCAUGGGCAUGGCGAGAAUCAGUGCUCGGUGUAGGAGGCCAACAGGAGGUGAGCUGCAAAGGCAGCAGAGCUCAGGCCCUGCCCAGGGUCCUCAGAUGCCUUUCUUGGCAGAUUGGACUUUGCUGUCACCACUGAGGAGCCACCGACCACUCCUGAGCAGAAGACUCACAUGGUAGACCUCAGCAUUGCUAGGACCAGGCUCUCUGGAAAGGGUGCAGGACAGGAAGUCUGAUCAAAGAGCCUUUCCCACAGCCAGGUCCUGAGCCAUGGAGCUGAAGUGACCAUACAGGCUAGAGUCUGUGGCAUCCUCAGACUUGGAUCUCCUUGGGGAGACAGGGACAGAGCAGAGAACCACUGAAGCUCUGGAGGGAGAGAAUAGUUGGAUGAGUUGGAUGAGAGCCAGGAGAAACCACAGGCUGGAGGCUACUGCGGGAGAGAGGCUGAGGAUGGCUGCCUUAGUGAGCCCUAUGCGGAGCUGCAAUCGUGAGUCCACACACAGAGUUCCAGCCUCCACUGGUGAUCAAACCUACAGACCCCAAACAGCCUGUGCUUGAGACUGGUCUGGGCACACACCUAAGGAGCAUCAGAUGCGUAGAGGGAACACUGGUUUCUGGAGACUGAGGAGUUUUACUGGCAGGAAGAGGUGAGAUUGGAGGGCUUCCAGGCAGUGAGGAGAGCUGAGGAAGCAAAUACCUGGCAGUGUGUCCUUGCUUUUCUUCUAGGCGGUGAGGGAACAGUCUCACCUAAGUUUGCCUGUCUGGUCAGAGCAGACUUGAGUUAGACCUCUGGAUCCUGUGUGCAUAUCGGAACUCUCCAUAGUUCUGCAACCCAAGCUGUUAGAAGCAGGUUCCAACCCGGUACUGCAGCUGAGAGAACUGACACAGGGGAUGUAUUUGGCACAGUGCUUCCGGCACAGUAGGUAUUCAACAUUUGUCUCUAUUAUCAUUAUUAUUUUAUCAACGGUUCUCCAGAAGAGAGAAAAAAGUGUUCUGUGCAUGUAAGUCCUUAAGUGUCCAGGGAGUUCAUGGAAACCAUGACACAUUAGCCCUGAAGGCAUGUACAGAGAGAUCACACAGUGCUCUGAAGACACAGCUUCUUAGCUUUGUCCCUAAUUGUAUCCGACUCUUAUCAAGGACACGGAUGCGUCUGGGUGCCUCGAGUCAAAUAAAGGGAGCGGUGAAUGCUGCUGUCCUCCCAAUGUGGACAGAAAGGUUAUCUGUUGAUAUAAAGGAGCUUUUCAAAGAACCUCUAACUCUUGUGUACUGUGAGAGGGGAAGGAUGAGGUAACAUCACCGGGCACAGACUUCAGAGUCUGCAUAGCCCCAUCAGGUUCUUACCCACCCUUGCCAUGUGGUCUUGGACAGAGUGCUUCAUUUUUCUGAGCCUCAGUUUCCUUUAUGUCAAAGUGGGGCUUUAUAUAAAGAUGAGCACAUGCGUUUGUAAAGUGCUUAGCACACGAGGCCUGUUAAUUAAAUGUGUUGUUAGUUAUUUGUUAUGUAUAUGAUAUUUUCCUUCCAUGAGGUCAUAGAUUUAAAGUCAUACAUAUUUGACCUGAAAUUAAAAUAUAAGUGUAUGGGGCUGGAACUAUGGUGUGACAGAUUAAGCUGGCAUUCCGUAUGAGCAUUGGUUCAAGUCCUGGGUUCAAGUCCAGCUCCCUGAAAUGUGCCUGGGAUGACAGCAGAAGAUGACCCCAAGUACGUGGGCCCUGCCACCCAUGUGGGAGAUCCAAAUGGAGUUCCAGGCUCCUGCCUUUGAUCCGUCCCAGCACUGGCUGUUGUGGCCAUUUGAGAAAUGAAGCAGCUGAUGGAGAAUCUCUCUGUCUCUCCCCCCACCUCGUGUGUGUGUGUGUGUGUGUGUGUGUGUAUGUAUGUCCCUCUCUCUAUAUAACUCUACUUUUCAAAUAAAUAAAUGUUAAUAUGUACGCACACAUACAUAUGCUUACAUUUAGCAGGAAAUGGCACAAUCAUGAACCACGCAGAUUGCUUGGUGAACCAAGUCUAUGUUACGGUAUUUGAGGGAAGGUUCAACUUUCUGAGACUGCCUCUUGGCUCAUCUACAGAUGUUUCCCUGAUGCCUUUGCUGAAAGGUUUUGCUUGUGUGUCUAACCUUUUCCUGUGCUUGGCUUGUAACCUGAAUGUGAAUAAACAACCUUGGGAAAUUUCAUGCCUGGGUUCACUAGGAUUUUGAUGUUGAAUCUUCCCGGGACAUUUGGGGUCUCUGCUGCCACCGUGGUGGGGCAUGGGAAAGACCAGCAUGGCAGGAGGAGGAGCAGAUACACAGGCAGAGCCCAGGCUACUCUCUCUUUGCUCUUCGUUUUCAGCCAUGUCAGGGGCUUAGCAUUGUUAGUGCAGGCCUUGCUGAGUGGUCUUUUACAUGCCAGCUUGGCCAUGAGGGAAGGUUUUUAUAAAUAUGUGCCUUUCUGAAUGGAUUAGAUGAAAAGCAGAUCAGAUGUUAUACAACAGCCUCCAGCUGCAAGGGGGCUGACUGCCAGAGCAGUUAGGGUUAGAUAAAUUAUCAUAGAGGAGUGAGCUGAUAAAGAUGGCUAAGCUCAUUUCCUUAUCUUAUAGUUCAGAAAAUUGAGACCCAGAGAAGAGCAGCAGAUUUCUCAAGGUCACAAUCCGUUCCUGGAUGCACCCAGGAACACUCUCUGAGCAGCUCAGGCAGUCAUUCGCUCUGCACUUUAAUUUUUGUAAUUUAUAUGAAAUGUUGCUUUAUUGCCAAUGGGAAAUUUUCUCAGGGGCUCUUGGAAGUGAAGAAGGUCAAAUGGCUACAAUUUAAAGGACACCUUAAACGGUGGGUUCAACAACUCAUAAAAGGAAAAAAUGGGCCAAGUGGGGGCCUUGGGCAAGUGCAGGUAGCACAGUGCCGUUCGGGGGGACUGGCCCCCAUUAGCACCAGCAGGUUUUGCCAUGAAGUGCUCAGGUACAGAGUUAUCCACAUUUAUAAUAAUUCCAUGUUUUAUUGUUGCUCUGAUUUUUCAAGAGAAGGUGGAAAUCUAAAAUUUUAUGUGAAACCCUUGGUGGUAAGUGUUGGCAAUUCAAUGAAUCAAACAGUUCAUAUCAGCAAAACCUCUUCACUUGCAACCUCUGGCUCGUGUGUGCAACAGGCUGGUGAGUGGCACACCACUGAGUUUUAGGAGGUGAGUGGCCAUCGCUACAGCCUCACGCUGUUUCUGUGGCAUGCACAGCUUCCCCAGCAGUGUGAAGAUGGAUGAUCCAAUAUUCCUUUGCAUCAUUGUCUUAUGUCAUCAAAGAUGACACUUUUCCCAUUGAUUUUGAAAGCAGAACUUUCAAUCAUCGUGAAGAACUCAGGGCCUCAGAGUGAGAUGGGAAAAUCAUGCCUCACUGUCUACAGUGGCAAAAUAUUGUGGAAAAACUUUACCUUUGACAUGCCUUCGUGCAGCUGUCUCCCAGCAACACCCAGGCUUUGCUCCUCAGCCUUGCUGUAGCCCUGGUGAGUCCUGGGCAGCAUGAGUUACAGCAGGAGAAGAUGUGGAUAUUUGGACAGAAUACAGGUACCUUCCCUUUGCUCUUGGUUUUGAGCUGUGCCAGGAGCUCAGUAUUCUUAAGAACGUUACUCUAUAGCCUGUCUUUGUCUAACAUCCAAACUUUGAACUUCCAUUUGAAAAAAAUUUAUUGGAAGGGAGAUACACAUACAUAAGGAGAUAUGUGUGUGUGUGUGUGUG
Molecule: non-coding RNA, 7047 nt
Organism: Oryctolagus cuniculus (rabbit)
Lineage: Eukaryota; Metazoa; Chordata; Mammalia; Lagomorpha; Leporidae
Source: RefSeq, a predicted model, not a curated record